GACGAACGCUGGCGGCGUGCCUAAUACAUGCAAGUAGAACGCUGAAGCGAGGAGCUUACUCUUCUUGGAUGAGUUGCGAACGGGUGAGUAACGCGUAGGUAACCUGCCUUGUAGCGGGGGAUAACUAUUGGAAACGAUAGCUAAUACCGCAUAACAAUGGAUGACACAUGUCAUUUAUUUGAAAGGGGCAAUUGCUCCACUACAAGAUGGACCUGCGUUGUAUUAGCUAGUAGGUGAGGUAAUGGCUCACCUAGGCGACGAUACAUAGCCGACCUGAGAGGGUGAUCGGCCGCACUGGGACUGAGACACGGCCCAGACUCCUACGGGAGGCAGCAGUAGGGAAUCUUCGGCAAUGGGGGCAACCCUGACCGAGCAACGCCGCGUGAGUGAAGAAGGUUUUCGGAUCGUAAAGCUCUGUUGUAAGUCAAGAACGGGUGUGAGAGUGGAAAGUUCACACUGUGACGGUAGCUUACCAGAAAGGGACGGCUAACUACGUG
Molecule: ribosomal RNA, 497 nt
Filed under: uncultured bacterium
Lineage: Bacteria
Description: partial 16S ribosomal RNA
Rfam family: Bacterial small subunit ribosomal RNA
Source: RNAcentral